This 205-nucleotide long non-coding RNA is filed under the name Mytilus galloprovincialis (Mediterranean mussel). Lineage: Eukaryota; Metazoa; Mollusca; Bivalvia; Mytilida; Mytilidae. The record is from RNAcentral.
CGUGUAUCCUUGUUAUCUAAUAUUUUGAUAGCAUAUAUUAUCCAAAGUCAUAUGAGGUGAAAACAUUUUAUCACCCGUAUUCUAUACCAGGUAUUUUGGAGAGUUAUUUUAUCAGAUUAAACAUUUGUUUAAGACCUUUAAUCGAAUACCGGGUAAAUAUUUUGUUAUAAUGUUGAUUUAAAGAUAUGAAAGGCGUUUAUCUUUU